UACGUAGGGGGCAAGCGUUGUCCGGAUUUAUUGGGCGUAAAGAGCGUGUAGGCGGCCAGACAGGUCCGUUGUGAAAACUCGAGGCUCAACCUCGAGACGCCGAUGGAAACCGUCUGGCUGGAGUCCGGAAGAGGAGAGUGGAAUUCCUGGUGUAGCGGUGAAAUGCGCAGAUAUCAGGAAGAACACCCGUGGCUAAGGCGGCUCUCUAGUACGGUACUGACGCUGAGACGCGAAAGCGUGGGGAGCGAACAGG
Molecule: ribosomal RNA, 253 nt
Filed under: uncultured bacterium
Lineage: Bacteria
Description: partial 16S ribosomal RNA
Rfam family: Bacterial small subunit ribosomal RNA
Source: RNAcentral